RNAcentral lists this ribosomal RNA (639 nucleotides) under Piskurozyma cylindrica. RNAcentral's name for it is "eukaryotic LSU rRNA". The stretch from base 198 to 351 matches the Rfam family "5.8S ribosomal RNA". The record is from RNAcentral. Lineage: Eukaryota; Fungi; Basidiomycota; Tremellomycetes; Filobasidiales; Piskurozymaceae.
UCCGUAGGUGAACCUGCGGAAGGAUCAUUAGUGAAUACAAACGCCUGGGUGUCUCUGCUUCGGCAAGCCCCUCGCACCCUUCACAUCCAUAACACCUGUGCACCGUAAGAUGACUCUAGGGCUUUGGCCUCUGGGUUGUCUGACCUUUUUCACAAACAAUUAUAUGUAACAAAUGUAGUCUUAUUAUAACAAAAUAAAACUUUCAACAACGGAUCUCUUGGCUCACACAUCGAUGAAGAACGCAGCGAAACGCGAUAGGUAAUGUGAAUUGCAGAAUUCAGUGAAUCAUCGAAUCUUUGAACGCAUCUUGCGCUUGCUGGUAUUCCGGCAAGCAUGCCUGUUUGAGUGUCAUGAAACUUAUCAACCGUGACUUGGGUUUAGGCCCCUGGCUCGGCUUGGAUUUGGGUGCUUGCGGCCUUGCGUCGCUCACCUUAAAAGGAUUAGCUGGACAUGUCGUGAGACUUGGUUCUACUUGGCGUAAUAAGUAUUUCGCUGAGGACAUCCCCUCGUGGGGUGGCCAUGACUCUGGUACAGACGUCUGCUUUCUAACCCGAUCGUCCUCGGACAUCACUUUUUAUGAUCUGGCCUCAAAUCAGGUAGGACUACCCGCUGAACUUAAGCAUAUCAAUAAGCGGAGGA